This is a non-coding RNA of Picea glauca (white spruce), 46 nucleotides long. The record is from Rfam. NCBI's taxonomy places the organism in Eukaryota, Viridiplantae, Streptophyta, Pinopsida, Pinales, Pinaceae.
CAUAAGGCUUUUCUCAAAGCCCCAUUUUAUUUGUACAUAUUAUUUU